UACUCGUUAAGGCUGAGCUGUGAUGGGGAGAAGACAUUGUGUCUUCGAGUCGUUGAUUUCACACUGCCGAGAAAAGCCUCUAGAUAGAAAAUAGGUGCCCGUACCGCAAACCGACACAGGUAGUCAAGAUGAGAAUUCUAAGGUGAGCGAGCGAACUCUCGUUAAGGAACUCGGCAAAAUGACCCCGUAACUUCGGGAGAAGGGGUGCUCUUUAGGGUUAACGCCCAGAAGAGCCGCAGUGAAUAGGCCCAAGCGACUGUUUAUCAAAAACACAGGUCUCUGCUAAACCGUAAGGUGAUGUAUAGGGGCUGACGCCUGCCCGGUGCUGGAAGGUUAAGAGGAGUGGUUAGCUUCUGCGAAGCUACGAAUCGAAGCCCCAGUAAACGGCGGCCGUAACUAUAACGGUCCUAAGGUAGCGAAAUUCCUUGUCGGGUAAGUUCCGACCCGCACGAAAGGCGUAACGAUUUGGGCACUGUCUCAACGAGAGACUCGGUGAAAUCAUAGUACCUGUGAAGAUGCAGGUUACCCGCGACAGGACGGAAAGACCCCGUGGAGCUUUACUGUAGCCUGAUAUUGAAAUUCGGCACAGCUUGUACAGGAUAGGUAGGAGCCUUUGAAACGUGAGCGCUAGCUUACGUGGAGGCGCUGGUGGGAUACUACCCUAGCUGUGUUGGCUUUCUAACCCGCACCACUUAUCGUGGUGGGAGACAGUGUCAGGCGGGCAGUUUGACUGGGGCGGUCGCCUCCUAAAAGGUAACGGAGGCGCUCAAAGGUUCCCUCAGAAUGGUUGGAAAUCAUUCAUAGAGUGUAAAGGCAUAAGGGAGCUUGACUGCGAGACCUACAAGUCGAGCAGGGUCGAAAGACGGACUUAGUGAUCCGGUGGUUCCGCAUGGAAGGGCCAUCGCUCAACGGAUAAAAGCUACCCCGGGGAUAACAGGCUUAUCUCCCCCAAGAGUUCACAUCGACGGGGAGGUUUGGCACCUCGAUGUCGGCUCAUCGCAUCCUGGGGCUGUAGUCGGUCCCAAGGGUUGGGCUGUUCGCCCAUUAAAGCGGUACGCGAGCUGGGUUCAGAACGUCGUGAGACAGUUCGGUCCCUAUCCGUCGUGGGCGUAGGAAAUUUGAGAGGAGCUGUCCUUAGUACGAGAGGACCGGGAUGGACAUACCUCUGGUGUACCAGUUGUCGUGCCAACGGCAUAGCUGGGUAGCUAUGUGUGGACGGGAUAAGUGCUGAAAGCAUCUAAGCAUGAAGCCCCCCUCAAGAUGAGAUUUCCCAACUUCGGUUAUAAGAUCCCUCAAAGAUGAUGAGGUUAAUAGGUUCGAGGUGGAAGCAUGGUGACAUGUGGAGCUGACGAAUACUAAUCGAUCGAAGACUUAAUCAA
Molecule: ribosomal RNA, 1379 nt
Filed under: Staphylococcus aureus
Lineage: Bacteria; Bacillati; Bacillota; Bacilli; Caryophanales; Staphylococcaceae
Description: bacterial LSU rRNA
Rfam family: Bacterial large subunit ribosomal RNA
Source: RNAcentral